ACCAACUGAUAAGAAUCACCGUUUGAACUUCGUUAUAUUUACCCGCCCAUGACGAGAGGUCUCCCUGUGAAUCAACUGAGAUGGCUCAUGUAAUUGGUCCAGCUAUACGGAGAAAUGAAGUGCCAACAUUUUAAACGACAGGAUGAAAACGCCUUGUAUUUUCCCAUUAUGAAAAUGCUAUGAAACGGUAGAAGAAUAUUGAAUCCUAAAAUCUGCACAAACGAAAAAGUACGUAGUGAUACACACCAAGGCUUUUAAUGCGAAAAUCGUGAUGUGAAUUCAAGCCGUUAUCCCAUUGCACCUUUCAAUCCGUAGAAACCAGAUUAUCGUUUCCAGUAUAAACAUUGCACUAAAGCGAUGAGACCGCCCAUAGAGAUGAAGGGGCAGGUCUGUGACUCAAAUCAUUGCACCCUAUGUAAGUAAUGACCAAACUAUUAUACUUAAGGAAUAGUAUAUUCUUUAUCAGUAAUAGACGUAGCCAGCUAUCUGGCGGAAAUCCAAGCCUUCACUAGUAGUGUCAACCGUAGCUUAAUCAGCAAGACAAGCCUUGUGAACUUUGAAACACAACACUCGUGUAAAUGUGUAACUGUUAAUGCAUUCGACUGAUUGUCGUGGCUUAUAUGUAUUUUCAUUAGGUAAUUUCAAUUAAGCAAGGUCUUUGUUUUGCUAAACAAUGGGGCAGUAUUUUCCAGUACUUUUCUUUAUGCAGUAACAUUUUUUCUUGUUAUUAUUAUUAUUUUUUUCCGUUGUCAUCAGCGUAAAACAAAAGGGUGGGGCGUCGCUAUCAACGUUUUAUCUGCUGUCUCCUUGGCUUCGACAGUCACCCGAUUCAGAUUCUUCAGAACUGUUUACAAUGCAGUCAAAGUAAACGACGCGUGCUAUGUCUAAUUUUUUUUUCAAUGGAAAUUUGAAUCUCAUGGAAAAACGAAUGUUUCGCGGAAUCUACCAGAUUUUAUUGACACCGUGGCGAUUCUGUGUUUUUCACGUGUUAAACUCUUGUGUUAUUAUACAACAACAAAGUUUUAUUUUGCCAUGGAGGCAAUAUUCUUUUUUACUUCACUUUUUCUUAGAUAUGUGAGCAUAUCGACGUUAUGCAAGGAAUCUAGUUGAUCUGCAUACCGGUUUUCCUGUUGACUGCAAGAUGUUAGUUAAGCCGAAAGAUAUUCCCAUCUUUUGCUGAACAACCUGUGAAAGAGACUUGUGGUCUUUUAUACUGCACAAUACAUGACUCUGAUUUAGUCGGAAGGACAAAACUGAAGAAAAUCUUGUCGCCAAAGUUCAAAGCCGUUAAUCCAUCGAAUUUCGAGAGCUUCAAACAUUGAAUGACCGCUAAUGACGCCCCUCAUGGCCAAAUGUAACAAAAAACUAGUUAAAAGGCCGAAUUACGUUAAUCGAAAAUCAAAAAUUAAAAUACACAAACAAUGUGUUUCAAUUUGGCAAGACUGGGCAAAACAAAAAUGGCAUGUCAGCCUUUCCCGCCAGUUCAAUGUUUGUCGACAACGUAAAAAGUACAGUAUUUGUCGGACAGCAAACUUGUACUCAGGUAGCUAGUAAUCAUACAUAGAUCUCUUCGACCUCGGAUGACCUAGUAAAUAACUGAUCAAUGAACAGGGGAAAAGCGAUUUCUCAUAUUUUCUCCAUGGAUAUUGCAGAAUCACUGGUGACACUAUUGGAAUAGAAGGCCACGUUGACACGUGAAAAUGAAACCCAUGGCAGCACAGUCAUCUCCUACAACAGAAAUAAAAGAUGAGAUAAAUGGGGGUGGAUACAAACAAGGCUCAAUUCGACAUUUCAAAAAUUCUUUUUACGAGGAUAAUAUACCAAAGGAAGAUUCUUUAUCUCUCUCUGCUGACAUCAGGGAUUUGUCGUUUGCCGCAUUUUCACUCGAAUCCAAUGUCCCGUAUCAAAAGUCGAUUCAUUCCGAUUACAGUUUACGUUCUUAUUCUGCUACGGUCUCUACAAGCGCGAAAAUUGGCAGUAGUCAGAAAAAACGUUCUUAUUUUGACUUCAUGAAUAUUAAUUCUAAUGAAAGUAGUGGCAAUCUUUCAAAAAUAAGUGAACCCAAUCUAAAUGAACUAGAAGAGAUCGUGGAUACAUUCGGGGAGUAUGAUGAAAUAGAUGGCUUCGUGUUUCGCUCCUUUACGACGAUGGAUCACCUGGAAAAGUUUGUGUCUAGAAGUGCAUCCCAUCAAGUGACGUUUCGCACAAGUUCCCAUUCUCCUCAUCAAGAGAAAGGCAUGUCAUAUUGUCGAACGUCUGGACCGUCAUCUCCAGAUUUUCUCAGAGAAGAUACUGGCAAAAUUGAUGCUUCAUUUCGCUCUCUUUCAGUGGAACCUUACUGCGAAGACUAUGAGGUACCUCGUCCAGAUAUUUGGAAUAAGCGACGAUUGGUAGACGGAUGUGAUAAACGUUUUUGCAAUAUGGGUUGCAUUUGCGAUAGCUUGAAUUCAGUUAAACCUCCAUUAGCGCAUUGCAACCACUCUGAAUGUAUGUGCCAUGAUGUAUGUGUUUACAAAUCCAGCCUUAGACGCUACGUAUCAUCUUCAUCGACCGAGUGCGAUACGUGUCGAGAAUCUUCUGAUUUCGAUUUAUUACUCAUUGAGCAGUUUCUGCCAAAACAAUGGCCCCUCUUGAAAAAGGAACUUGCUUUACAAAAGGAGAUUAUCUAUCAGCUACAGCAUCAGCUAAAUAGCAAACAACUUGAAGUGAAUAAGCUGAGAAACCAGCUUGUGAAAAACGUUAUCGUAAAAAAUCCCGCCAGCCCACACCCGUUGGUAGCGACAAAAAAUGUAGCAUAUCCCUCGGUGAAAAAGGCUAGGACAAAAUUGGAGGCAAUGGUGGAAACUAAAGAAGAGGCAAACGCGGCGACACGCGUACAUUUGGACGGGACUCGCUUCCGUUUGAUGAUGUGGUUCUUGACAGACUUUCUGAAAGCAUAUCCGUCACAGCAUUUAUCCGACACCUAAUGCGGGACAUGUUCACCGAAGAUUUUCUGUCAUCAAGAAGUUCUAGGUGGAUGAAAGAGGAACAUAAGACCGCCAUAAUAGAUGCCACAAUGAGGAGAUUCCACAUUUAUUAUCGGAGAGACGGCGAUUCUAUUCCACUGACUGUUGAAAUGGUCAAGCAGGUAAUAACAUCCGAAUUCAACAUCAAUCAAUCCAGGGAAAGGAUGAAAAGUAAAAAGCGA
Molecule: unclassified non-coding RNA, 3187 nt
Filed under: Daphnia magna
Lineage: Eukaryota; Metazoa; Arthropoda; Branchiopoda; Diplostraca; Daphniidae
Description: uncharacterized LOC116918252, transcript variant X1
Source: RNAcentral